This 684-nucleotide long non-coding RNA is filed under the name Salmo salar (Atlantic salmon). Its description in RNAcentral is "lncRNA (ENSSSAG00000111993.1)". The record is from RNAcentral. Lineage: Eukaryota; Metazoa; Chordata; Actinopteri; Salmoniformes; Salmonidae.
CGUCUCUGCAGUCUCUGGGCGAAAAAAAGCAGGAGUUUUUGUGAGUGGUCAGGCAGGGAACAAUGACAGUGGAGUGCGCAUGCACGAGACGACUCCAUGUUUUUCUUUCAGUCUAUGAAUGAAUAUAACGUCGCCCAGUUGGAAUAUUAUCGCUAUUUUACGAGAAAAAUUGCAUAAAAAUAGAUUAGAAACAGCGUUUGACAUGCUUGAAAGUGCUGGGAUGGAAUAUUUUGAAUUUUUUUGUCACGAAAUGCACCCGCGCGUCACCCUUCGGAUACUGACAUGAACGCACGAACAAAACAGAGCUAUUUGGAUAUAACUAUGGAUUAUUUCGAACCAAAACAACAUUUGUUGUUGAAGUAGAAAUCCAUGGAGUGCAUUCUGACAAAGAACAGCAAAGCAUAAACCUGCUCUCCACCACCAGUACUAGGAGAUUAAUGAUGGUGAACAAGCAGAACUUCAGGACAAUGACCCAACACAUCUCCAGGCAGGCUGUGUAAGGGCUAUUUGACCAAGAAGGAGAGUGAUGGAGGGCUGCAUCAGAUGACCUGACCUCCACAAUCACCUGACCUCAACCCAAUUGAGAUGGUUUGGUUUGUCAUGAGUGUGACUGCAGAGUGAAGGAAAAAAACAGCCAACAAUUGCUCAUUAUACAGUGGCUUGCGAAAGUAUUCACCCCCUCGG